CCAGACUCCUACGGGAGGCAGCAGUGGGGAAUAUUGCACAAUGGGGGAAACCCUGAUGCAGCAACGCCGCGUGAAGGAAGACGGUUUUCGGAUUGUAAACUUCUGUUCUUAGUGAAGAAGAAUGACGGUAGCUAAGGAGCAAGCCACGGCUAACUACGUGCCAGCAGCCGCGGUAAUACGUAGGUGGCAAGCGUUGUCCGGAUUUACUGGGUGUAAAGGGCGUGCAGCCGGAGAGACAAGUCAGAUGUGAAAUCCACAGGCUCAACCUGUGAACUGCAUUUGAAACUGUUUCCCUUGAGUAUCGGAGAGGUCAUCGGAAUUCCUAGUGUAGCGGUGAAAUGCGUAGAUAUUAGGAAGAACACCAGUGGCGAAGGCGGAUGACUGGACGACAACUGACGGUGAGGCGCGAAAGCGUGGGGAGCGAACAGGAUUAGAUACCCGAGUAC
This 446-nucleotide ribosomal RNA is filed under the name uncultured bacterium. RNAcentral describes it as "bacterial SSU rRNA". It matches the Rfam family "Bacterial small subunit ribosomal RNA", at positions 331 to 793 of the family's 1533-position model. The record is from RNAcentral.